Molecule: long non-coding RNA, 218 nt
Filed under: Gossypium barbadense (sea-island cotton)
Lineage: Eukaryota; Viridiplantae; Streptophyta; Magnoliopsida; Malvales; Malvaceae
Description: long non-coding RNA (GBAR_LNC003278)
Source: RNAcentral
GCUGGUACGGGUGGAGUGUAGUGGUUGGUGGGUUGAGUAGUCUCCCCAAAUGGGCUUGCAUAUGUUUAUUGAUGUUGCAUGUAUUUUGAAAUGGGCCUAUGGGCCAUACUGUUAUCUGAAUAAGGAGCUAAGGCCCAGUUUAUUGUAAUCUGAAAAGGGCUCUCGUCCAGUACCACUGUUACCUGAAUGGGCUUAGGCCCAAUAGGCUUGAGCUACUU